This 239-nucleotide ribosomal RNA is filed under the name uncultured bacterium. RNAcentral's name for it is "partial 16S ribosomal RNA". It matches the Rfam family "Bacterial small subunit ribosomal RNA", at positions 91 to 334 of the family's 1533-position model. The record is from RNAcentral.
ACGAGUGGCGGACGGGUGAGUAAUGUCUGGGAAACUGCCCGAUGGAGGGGGAUAACUACUGGAAACGGUAGCUAAUACCGCAUAACGUCGCAAGACCAAAGGGGGGACCUUCGGGCCUCUUGCCAUCGGAUGUGCCCAGAUGGGAUUAGCUAGUAGGUGGGGUAACGGCUCACCUAGGCGACGAUCCCUAGCUGGUCUGAGAGGAUGACCAGCCACACUGGAACUGAGACACGGUCCAG